Molecule: ribosomal RNA, 496 nt
Filed under: uncultured bacterium
Lineage: Bacteria
Description: partial 16S ribosomal RNA
Rfam family: Bacterial small subunit ribosomal RNA
Source: RNAcentral
GAUGAACGCUGGCGGCGUGCCUAAUACAUGCCAGUCGAGCGAACAGACGAGGAGCUUGCUCCUCUGACGUUAGCGGCGGACGGGUGAGUAACACGUGGAUAACCUACCUAUAAGACUGGGAUAACUUCGGGAAACCGGAGCUAAUACCGGAUAAUAUAUUGAACCGCAUGGUUCAAUAGUGAAAGACGGUUUUGCUGUCACUUAUAGAUGGAUCCGCGCCGCAUUAGCUAGUUGGUAAGGUAACGGCUUACCAAGGCAACGAUGCGUAGCCGACCUGAGAGGGUGAUCGGCCACACUGGAACUGAGACACGGUCCAGACUCCUACGGGAGGCAGCAGUAGGGAAUCUUCCGCAAUGGGCGAAAGCCUGACGGAGCAACGCCGCGUGAGUGAUGAAGGUCUUCGGACCGUAAAACUCUGUUAUUAGGGAAGAACAAAUGUGUAAGUAACUAUGCACGUCUUGACGGUACCUAAUCAGAAAGCCACGGCUAACUACGU